This 2016-nucleotide ribosomal RNA is filed under the name Triticum aestivum (bread wheat). Its description in RNAcentral is "partial small subunit ribosomal RNA". Lineage: Eukaryota; Viridiplantae; Streptophyta; Magnoliopsida; Poales; Poaceae. The record is from RNAcentral.
AUGGCGCCCGCGGCGGCGCUGCUGCUGGCGUGCGCCGUCGCCGCGCUGGCAUGCCUGGCACUCGCGGACCCGCCGGCGAGCGAGCAGACGGCGCUGCUGGCCUUCCUCGCGGCCGUGCCGCACGAGCGCAAGCUCGGGUGGAGCGCCUCCACGCCGGCCUGCGCCUGGGUCGGGGUCACCUGCGACGCCGCCAACUCCACCGUCGUCAAGCUGCGCCUACCCGGGAUCGGGCUCGUCGGCCCCAUCCCGCCGGGGACCCUCGGGCGGCUAGCCAACCUCCAGGUGCUGUCCCUCCGCGCCAACCGCGUGUCCGGCACCAUCCCCGACGACCUCCUCCGCCUCUCCGCCCUCCGGUCCCUCUUCCUGCAGGACAACGCCGUCUCCGGCGCCAUCCCGCCGGGGGUCUCCGGGCUGGCCGCGCUCGAGCGGCUCGUGCUCUCCCACAACAAUUUGUCGGGCCCCAUCCCCUUCGCGCUCGGCGGCCUCGCGGCGCUGCGCGCGCUGAGGCUCGACGGCAACCGGCUGUCCGGCAAGAUCCCCAGCAUCGCCAACCCGGGGCUCAGGGCGUUCAACGUUUCGAACAACAUGCUCAACGGCUCCAUCCCGCGGGCGCUGUCGCGCUUCCCCGCCGACGCCUUCGCCGGGAACCUCCAGCUGUGCGGCACCCCGCUGCCCCCCUGCAGCCCCUUCUUCCCGUCCCCGGCGCCGGCGCCGGGGAUGGGCCCGAGCGACGGCGCGCCGGGGAGGAAGAAGAAGAAGCUGUCCACCGCGGCGAUCGUCGGCAUCAUCGUGGCCGCCGUGGCCGUCGCGCUGCUCCUGCUUCUUCUGGCCAUCGUGUUCUGCUGCAAGAAGAGGGCCCGGCGAGGCGCGCGCACGGAGGGACCGAAGGGCACGGCCGCGGCGGCGGGGCAGACAGGCACAACCAGACCGCCGGCGGCGUCCGGCGAAGGCACGGGCACCGCGUCCUCGCCAAAGGACGACGCGGGCACCUCCGGGGCGGUGGCCGCGGCGGGCGGCGGGACGGGGGAAACGAGCCGGCUGGUGUUCGUGGGGAAGAGCGCGGGGUACAGCUUCGACCUGGAGGACCUGCUGCGGGCGUCGGCGGAGGUGCUGGGGAAGGGGAGCGCGGGGACGUCGUACAAGGCGGUGCUGGAGGAGGGGACGACGGUGGUGGUGAAGCGGCUCAAGGAGGUGGCGGUGGCGCGGCGCGAGUUCGAGGCGCACAUGGAGGCCGUCGGCGGCGUGGAGCACCGCAACCUGCUCCCCGUCCGCGCAUACUACUUCUCCAAGGACGAGAAGCUGCUCGUCUACGACUACCUCCCCGCCGGCAGCCUCUCCGCCAUGCUCCACGGGAGCCGGGGCUCGGGCCGGACGCCCAUGGACUGGGACGCGCGCAUGCGCUCGGCGCUGUCGGCCUCCCGCGGCCUCGCGCACCUCCACUCGGAGCACAGGCUCGCGCACGGCAACGUCAAGUCCUCCAACGUGCUGCUCCGGCCGGACCUCGACGCCGCCGCGCUCUCCGACUUCUCCCUCCACCCCAUCUACGCGCCGACGUCCGUCCGCGCGGGCGCCGGCGGGUACCGCGCCCCGGAGGUGGUGGACACGCGGCGGCCGACGCUCAAGGCGGACGUCUACUCCCUUGGCGUGCUCCUGCUGGAGCUCCUCACCGGCAAGUCCCCGACGCACGCGUCCCUGCAGGAGGGCGACGGCGGCACGCUGGACCUGCCGCGCUGGGUGCAGUCGGUGGUGCGCGAGGAGUGGACCGCCGAGGUGUUCGACGUCGAGCUCGUGCGCCUCGGCGCCAGCGCCGAGGAGGAGAUGGUCGCGCUGCUGCAGGUGGCCAUGGCCUGCGUCGCCACCGUGCCCGACGCGCGCCCGGACGCGCGGGACGUCGUCAGGAUGAUCGAGGAGAUCGGGGCCGGCCACGGGCAGACCACCACGGAGGAGAGCGCGCGGGCGACCACCUCCGAGGAGGAGCGCUCCAGGGGCACGCCGCCGGCCGACCCGACGCCGUAG